CACUGAAUCCAGAGUCGAUCGCGUCAGUAGUGGGAGAACGCCUGACGAGCGAGCCUCUUGGUUCCACGUGCGAGAUCCGCACUUCACUUGUUCGUGUCUUGGGAGAGACCGGCAGAGUGCGUUGUCGUAUGCGGCUAGCAGUGUUUUGUUCAAUGUGGCGUCUGUGAAUAGGCGUUGCAUUAUUAGUGCUAAUGUGACUUUUUAAUUGAGUGAUUAGAAGUUAACCCGCACGCAAAUUGCCUCAGUAUUUCUCAACAAUGUGCAGUGCAGAGCGGGAUUAACUUCAGUAGCCGCCGAGAUUUAUGAUGGCUCUGAAGUAUGGACAGCGAAUACGAGAGACAAUUGUGAAGAAUGAGGAGCAGAAUUUCUCUUGUUAUGAGUUGGUCCACAGUUGGUUGUGAAAUAGAAGCUGCGUCCGCGGAUUGUGAAGUUACAGACAAAGCGGCCACAUUACCGAUAGGCUUCAGGAAGUUGAAUCUACAGUACGACGUUGAAGCACACAUUUAUACCCAGAUAAUUUGUGAAACGUCAGGCAUUCUUCCAGGAA
Molecule: long non-coding RNA, 547 nt
Organism: Zootermopsis nevadensis
Lineage: Eukaryota; Metazoa; Arthropoda; Insecta; Blattodea; Termopsidae
Source: RefSeq, a predicted model, not a curated record